This 220-nucleotide long non-coding RNA is filed under the name Lathyrus oleraceus (garden pea). Its description in RNAcentral is "Pisum sativum (pea) long non-coding RNA (PSAT_LNC024236)". The record is from RNAcentral. Lineage: Eukaryota; Viridiplantae; Streptophyta; Magnoliopsida; Fabales; Fabaceae.
UUCUUUUUCGGCAAAGUAUUUCAUGACUGCACCAUCAUUCACAGGACGAGUGAACUCUUCACCAUCCAUAGUUGUAAGAAUCAAAGCACCUCCUGAAAAGGCUCUCUUAACAACAUAUGGGCCUUCAUAAUUAGGAGUCAAUUUACACUUAACAUAUGGUUUGAAGGAUAUAAUCUUCUUGAGCACAAGAUCACCUUCUCUGAACACACGAGGCUUAACA